RNAcentral lists this long non-coding RNA (467 nucleotides) under Apteryx owenii (little spotted kiwi). RNAcentral's name for it is "lncRNA (ENSAOWG00000014379.1)". The record is from RNAcentral. Lineage: Eukaryota; Metazoa; Chordata; Aves; Apterygiformes; Apterygidae.
GUCUUCUCGGGAUUGGAUGCAGAAGGCUGGUGAUCUGGGGGCUGUUUGCGGUGGUAGGGGACCUAUCAUGCGGGCUGGUGUCCCUGCUGGGCAGCUCGCCGGGGCUGAGGCGGUGAAACGCUGCCGGUGCCGAGCAGCGUGCCAGCCGCCCUGGCACAGCGGGGAUGAAGGCGAAGGCACACUGCAGCCAGUGUCAUUCUGCUCUUCCAGAGAGACAGCACUUUCUCCGCUUGAGGAAUGAAUGAAUUCUGAAUCUUCCAGGAAAUAGUUCAGGAAACGGUAUUAUAUCUACCGUGAGCUUUGUGUUCAACCAAAAGCAGCUCUUGCUGUCCAUGGAGCCUCCACAUGCAGGCCAGCAAGAGGGUGCAGAUACCCGACGUUUCCUCACUUUUCUGUAAGGAGACCCCUCACCUGUACAGCCUGGUAGAUGGAGGUAUGAGGAACUAAGGGUACACACCAAGUACAUU